GUGGCCCUGCUGGCGCGGUCCGGCUCUCGCGCGGAGGCGAGCGCGCAGCGCCAUGGGCACGCGCGGGCCCUACCCGCUGGUGGACACCACGCCGGCCAAGACCAUCCUGGUGUACCGCAACGGGGACCAGUUCUACGUGGGCCGCAAGUUCGUGUUCUCGCGGCGCCACGUGGCCAACUUCGAGGUGCUGCUGGAGCAGCUGACAGCGCAGGUGGACGUGCCGUUCGGCGUGCGGCGCCUCUACACGCCCACGCGCGGCCACUCGGUGCACGAGCUGGACGCGCUGCAGACGGGCGGCAAGUACGUGGCGGCGGGCCGCGAGCGCUUCAAGAAGCUCGACUAUAUCCAUAUAGUUCCCAGAAAGCCCUCCAAGAUGAGGAAGUUGAAGGAAAUAAAGCCAGUGGUGCACUGUGACAUGAAUGUGCCUUCCAGGUGGCAGUCCUAUCACCGCCUUUCCCGAAAUAUUAAUGUUUUCACAAAUGGAAGAAUAUUUAUUCCACCCGUAAAAAUUAUUAUACCCAAAUUCAGCCUGACAGACUGGAAUAGCGUGCUGGCCACGAUUGGAGAAAAAGUCUUCCCUUGGGGAGGUGUUCGAAAAUUAUUUACUUUGGAUGGACAUCUUCUGGACAACUCACAGGACUUGCAAGACAGUCAAUUCUAUGUUGCUGCAGGACUGGAGAAUUUCAAAAGCUUUCCAUACUGGAGGUCCCCAAACGUUCCCAUCGAGGUCCAAGAAAAGUACUCAGACAUGGAAAGACGCCUGCAGAAAAAGAAGAAGGUGACUUCUAAAGAAAAAGAGCCUCCUAGAGAUGAGAGCGUACCACCUAGAACUCAGGAUUCUGUUUACUACGCCAAACAAGGAAAGAAGAAACCGCCGGCAGACCCUCUGGUCCAAAUGGGCACAGCAUCUGACAAGAAGUUCAUCAAGAAUAAAGAAGUGGCUCAGUUUCCUGAAAAAGAACAAUAUGCAAUUCUAGAGGAAAAAAAUACACCUGCACUACUAGAAAUUCCAGUAGAAAUAGAAGCUCAAAGAGAACCACAAAUGGGACAAGAUUCACAAAAUGAAUUAUCAUCAAGUCAAGAAGAACCAACAACAGAGCAACAAGAGUCCUCUGAAGAGUCACCCAUGGGACAACCAUCCCAAGAAUCAAUACCUGAGAAACGAGAGUCCUCUGAACAACCAUCCCAAGAAUCAAUACCUGAGAAACAAGAGUCCUCUGAACAACCAUCCCAAGAAUCAAUACCUGAGAAACAAGAGUCCUCUGAACAGUCGCCCUUGGGACAACCAUCCCAAGAGAGAAUUCCUGAGAAACACGAGUCCUCUCAAGAGACCUCCUUGGGACAACCAUCCCAAGAGCCAACACCUGAGAAACACGAGUCCUCUGAACAGGUACCUUUGGAACAAUAAUCUCAAAAAGACAUGAAUAAGAGACAAGAAAUCAGACAAACACCUAAAACAAAAUAUCAUCCAUGUUGUGAAGAGCAAAAGCCAGAACCUGGCUGAAGGAUUGCAAGACACAUGAAAAUAAGAGUUGAUGCCUUUCACAUUGUGCUGAAGAGAUGCCCUGGGAGUGGGAGCCAGUGAGCCAACCAGCACACCUUUACAUCAAUGUGAAACCCAUCUGCCUUCAACCCUGGGGCUCCCAUCUCACAAACGGACACUCUAAUAGCAAGAAAAUCCUCUCUGCGUGAAGCUGAGGCCCCCAGAGCUGAGUCUUCUCUAAAAGCUGGGGCUGGGACUCCCCUGAGUUCAUUUUCUAAUUUCCUUUCUUGGUGAUAUUCUUUUAAAUAAACAUUUAAGAGAA
This is a non-coding RNA of Ictidomys tridecemlineatus (thirteen-lined ground squirrel), 1805 nucleotides long. Lineage: Eukaryota; Metazoa; Chordata; Mammalia; Rodentia; Sciuridae. The record is from RefSeq and is a predicted model, not a curated record.